RNAcentral lists this ribosomal RNA (253 nucleotides) under uncultured bacterium. RNAcentral's name for it is "partial 16S ribosomal RNA". It matches the Rfam family "Bacterial small subunit ribosomal RNA", at positions 524 to 776 of the family's 1533-position model. The record is from RNAcentral.
UACAGAGGUCCCAAGCGUUGUUCGGAUUCACUGGGCGUAAAGGGUGCGUAGGUGGUGAGGUAAGUUUGAUGUGAAAUCUCCGGGCUCAACCCGGAAAUGGCACUGAAUACUAUCUUGCUGGAGGAGUGGAGGGGGGACUGGAAUACUUGGUGUAGCAGUGAAAUGCGUAGAUAUCAAGUGGAACACCAGUGGCGAAGGCGAGUCCCUGGACACUUCCUGACACUGAGGCACGAAAGCUAGGGGAGCAAACAGG